GACGAACGCUGGCGGCGUGCUUAACACAUGCAAGUCAAGGGGGCCCAGCAAUGGGCAACCGGCGAACGGGUGCGUAACACGUGAGCAACCUACCGAACUGUGGGGGAUAGCCGGCCUAACGGCCGAGUAAUACCGCAUACGCUCUCAGAGAGGCAUUUCUUUGAGAGGAAACCUACGGGACAGAUCGAGGGGCUCGCGGCCUAUCAGCUAGUUGGCGAGGUAACGGCUCACCAAGGCAACGACGGGUAGCUGGUCUGAGAGGAUGGCCAGCCACAUUGGGACUGAGAUACGGCCCAGACUCCUACGGGAGGCAGCAGUGGGGAAUCUUGCGCAAUGGCCUAACGGCUGACGCAGCGACGCCGCGUGUGGGAUGAAGCUCUUCGGAGUGUAAACCACUGUUGCCCGGGACGAACAGCUCGAUUAAUCGAGCCUGACGGUACCGGGUGAGGAAGCACCGGCUAACUCCGUGCCAGCAGCCGCGGUAAUACGGGGGGUGCGAGCGUUGUCCGGAAUCACUGGGCGUAAAGGGCGCGUAGGUGGUUUGAUAAAGGUGGUGGUGAAAAGUCCGGGGCUCAACCCCGGGAUCUGCCGUGCCGACUGUCAAACUCGAGGACUGUAGAGGCAGACGGAAUUCCGGGGUG
This 641-nucleotide ribosomal RNA is filed under the name uncultured bacterium. Its description in RNAcentral is "bacterial SSU rRNA". It matches the Rfam family "Bacterial small subunit ribosomal RNA", at positions 28 to 676 of the family's 1533-position model. The record is from RNAcentral.